RNAcentral lists this long non-coding RNA (1003 nucleotides) under Equus caballus (horse). Its description in RNAcentral is "lncRNA (ENSECAG00000040766.2)". The record is from RNAcentral. Lineage: Eukaryota; Metazoa; Chordata; Mammalia; Perissodactyla; Equidae.
GCCUCCACGACUGGGAUCUGUGCGCUCUCCGUGGGCAGCCCCCGGACCCAGGGCGCGUCCACAGCGCCCACCCGCGGCCCCAAAGCACCUUGAGAGCAGAUCUCAGGGCAUAACCAGGCACAGACCUGAGACGCCCUGCUGCUGCCAGAACCUUGGCCCGAAACCUAGAACCUGGGACCAGAUUCAACGGUUCUCCUCAUGCAUACAUGCGUCCAUCCGUCCAUCGAUGCGGACAUGCAUACAAUACAAAUCCUCAGACGCAGGCACCGAGAGCGGCACCUCGCCCCCUUUCCCGCUCGCCCUCCUUCUGCGCAGCCCUGGCCCCCUUCCUGAAGGGAGAACAGCUCAAUUGCGAAAAGGAGCCAAGGAAGGAAAUCCCAGGCUCGGAGGCGCCCGCCCGCCGAUGCUCUUCUGGUCCCCGUCCCUGUCGCCCAGUCCCCACCCCCACCGUCCCCAGCUCAGGGAGGGCGGGGACGCGGCGGUGCGAGGGGUCCUGCCCUGCUCCACCAGAACAAAGCCCACCGCGGGAGCCCGCGGCCGCGCACCGAGCCGGUGACAAAGGCGGGCGGGCGGCGCCGAGCUCCGAGUCUGCGCUUCCACAGCAGGCGGGGAAGGAGACCUGGAAAACAGGAAAAGCAAUGCUAAUUCGUCUUCUGAAGGCCGCUCUGGGUGUUCAAAUAACAGUCUGAAAGCCCUUAUAGGGGAGUGCUUGGGGAGUAAAGGGACCCUCUUCAUUUUAUUAUGCAAACUGUGCUCCAAAUAAAAUGCAGUCUAAGGAAGCAGAGCUUGGCCCUGGGACCCCAGCAAGUCGCCGCCUAUUCGGGAGAAGUCGCUUCUGAUGGCCACAAAUCACUGGGGGGGUGGGCAGGGGACCCGCCGCUGUGGAAUGGAGACCUCAAGCGCUGGUGUCCCCCAAAGCAAACCUUUCUAGGGAAACUUCCAACCUGACUUUCUAAUCCUGGAAAGGAAUCAAUCUCUUGCUAGACACCCCCCCCCCCCCCCC